This 709-nucleotide ribosomal RNA is filed under the name uncultured bacterium. Its description in RNAcentral is "bacterial SSU rRNA". It matches the Rfam family "Bacterial small subunit ribosomal RNA", at positions 152 to 871 of the family's 1533-position model. The record is from RNAcentral.
GGAAACCGGGAUUAAAUUACCCCCAUGACACGACGAGAUUGCAUGAUUUGGUUCGUCAAAAGAUUGAUCGGUUAUGAGAUGGGCUCGCGUCUGUUUAGCUAGUUGGUGGGGUAAAGGCCUACCAAGGCGACGAUCAGUAGCCGGCUUGAGAGAAGGUGGACGGCCACACUCGAACUGAGACACGGUCCAGACUCCUACGGGAGGCAGCAGUGGGGAAUCUUGCACAAUGGAGGCAACUCUGAUGCAGCGACGCCGCGUGAGCGAAGAAGGUCUUCGGAUUGUAAAGCUCUGUCCUAAAGGAAGAUAAUGACAGUACUUUAGGAGGAAGCCCCGGCUAACUACGUGCCAGCAGCCGCGGUAAUACGUAGGGGGCGAGCGUUGUCCGGAAUUAUUGGGCGUAAAGGGUACGUAGGCGGUUUUGCAAGUCCAUUGUGAAAGCCCAGGGCUCAACCCCGUAAAGCUGUUGAAACUGGAGAACUUGAGAGAUGGAGAGGAAAGUGGAAUUCCUAGUGUAGCGGUGAAAUGCGUAGAUAUUAGGAGGAACACCGGUGGCGAAGGCGGGUCUCUGGGCAGUAACUGACGCUGAGGAGCGAAAGCAUGGGUAGCGAACAGGAUUAGAUACCCUGGUAGUCCAUGCCGUAAACGGUGGGCGCUAGGUGUAGGGGUCUUCCACGACUUCUGUGCCGUAGCUAACGCAUUAAGCGCCCCG